RNAcentral lists this ribosomal RNA (403 nucleotides) under uncultured bacterium. RNAcentral describes it as "bacterial SSU rRNA". It matches the Rfam family "Bacterial small subunit ribosomal RNA", at positions 355 to 775 of the family's 1533-position model. The record is from RNAcentral.
UCGGGAAUUUUGCUCAAUGGGCGAAAGCCUGAAGCAGCAACGCCGCGUGAGGGAUGAAGGCCUUCGGGUCGUAAACCUCUUUUCUCAGGGACGAUGAUGACGGUACCUGAGGAAGAAGCCACGGCUAACUACGUGCCAGCAGCCGCGGUAAUACGUAGGUGGCAAGCGUUGUCCGGAUUUACUGGGCGUAAAGAGCGCGCAGGCGGCCUGAUCAGUCGAACGUGAAAGCCCCCGGCUUAACUGGGGAGGGUCGUUCGAUACUGUCAGGCUUGAAGGCAGGAGAGGGAAGCGGAAUUCCCGGUGUAGUGGUGAAAUGCGUAGAUAUCGGGAGGAACACCAGUGGCGAAGGCGGCUUUCUGGCCUGCUCUUGACGCUGAGGCGCGAAAGCCAGGGGAGCGAACGG